This is a long non-coding RNA of Ornithodoros turicata, 4089 nucleotides long. RefSeq lists it as uncharacterized. The record is from RefSeq and is a predicted model, not a curated record. The transcript has 4 exons. Lineage: Eukaryota; Metazoa; Arthropoda; Arachnida; Ixodida; Argasidae.
CGAAGAGGAAGAUCGCCAUUGCCCCACGUGAACUCGCCCGGUCAGGCGAAUAUUCCACUUUUGACUUUGCCGAGAUGUACGUACGACAGCGCGGAACAUCGGGAACUGCUAAGGGCUCGAAGACUACUGCGACUCAUCCGCUCUGAAGAAGAUCGUGAGUUGAUUGCAUAAAAGAAUGUCUCACUUUCUGUUGCCCUGGUUGCAGUGCUUGUUUCCUUUGCCAAAAAUUUGUUUUGGUGUGCUGCCGAGAUCUUUGAAAAUGCCUCGCUGUGGAAUCUGUGGGUAUGAUUGCAUUGAGGAGGUAAUUCGUCGUAUGGAGGAGGAAGUUAACGUUCCAAAUUUAGAUCCUGCUUUGUUUGAUGAAGAGUGGGGAUUAGAAUUUGAUCAGGUUUUGAUGGAUGGAGUUUUUGAUGAUAAUACGCCGGCAGAUGCUGUGCAAAUUCCAGAUAGCCCAGAGCCUGUUGUGAACGAUCUCGCGGAACAUGUUUCGGUGGCUCAUCCUGGUGUUAGCGUACCAUACUUUCCAUUCUUUGAAACCGCUGCGGCCUUUAAAGGGUACCUGUUGGCGUCACCGUAUGACGACUUUGUCGAGGAUCCGUUCGAAUACCUGGUACAUUACCAGCAUGAUAUAGUUUCCAUAUUACAACAGCACCCCAUACCUUUUAAAUUUUAUAUGUGCGUGAAAGUACUGAUGGUAAAGCGAGUUGGCGAUUCGAUUAGUAGCCAUUUUGCUUUUCUAAGUGCCGUGUCACGAGAAAUUCAUAGUCUCGCGGAUAUAAUGGUUGCGCUAAAAGAAUGAUUAUCGAGUUAGCGCGCAACCUUGAAAAUUAUCAGGGUGAAGGUAGCGGUUACGUAUCUCGGGACGUAUCCGAAAUUGAAUUGAACAUAAGCACGAUUGAAAAAAAGAAGAUUGGUUGUGACACUGUAAUUCCUGCCGAACUGAAAAAAAGAAGAAGAACACUCACAAAUUUAAAAUGCCCCGACAACGAGCGUUUCAAAUGCAAUACUUUAGCGCAAUUGCAUCCUCAACAAAAAUAUGGAAAUGAUUGGAAAACAUAUCGCAAAUAUCUGGUUGAUCUCGAAUCGAAUCCAUCGGCACGAGUCAGAUGGUGGCCCAACAGUCCGGUAUCAUAUUCGGAGAUUGCAGAAUUUGAAGAACGGAACCAAAUUGAAGUGUAUGUGUACUCAUAUCAGGAUGGGAGUAUCCACACUUCCCGUGUUCCGCGUCUCGCAUUUAAUGAUAAAGUGCAAUGAUUGGAAUUUGAUAAUCACUUUUUUGGGACAAAGAAUUACAGUACCCUGUUUGGUCGCAAAGAAAUGUUUUUUUGUGAAAAGUGUACGAGGGGAUUUACAACACAGGAAAACCUAGUGUCACAUAGGAGAGUGCGAAGGAAUUUUGAGGAGCUUUUGUUGGAGUUCCCUGAGCCAGGUAAGAAUGUUCUAAAAUUUGACAAGUUUGGUCACAUGUUUGCAUUUCCAUAUAUUAUCGGACUCGAUACAGAGUCUGUCCUCGACCCUAAUACGAACGUGAAAAGUGCCGUGCAGAAGCAUGAUAUGAGUUCCUUUUGCUGCAUUCUAAUCAGAACCUAUGAUUCGAAAGUACUCGCAAAUGAAAAAUAUUUAGGCCCCGAUGCCGCUUCCAGGUGCGUCGACUGCCUGUUAUGUUUUCAUAACAAGGUGGUCGAUAUCAGUCGUUGCCCUGCCCCCAUUAAACUCACAGAUGAAGAAACUCGUAAACAUAUCGCUGCAACGCACUGUGAGUAUUGUGGUGUGUUAUUUAGUGUUGACAGGAAAAAGGUUCGUCAUCACGAUCACAGCCGUGAAAGCAGUGUCAGCAACUUUUUGGCUACCAUUUGUAGCGAAUGUAACAUCAGUUGCAGCAAUCAUGGCAAAAUUCCUGUGCUCACCCACAACCUUCAGUACGACAUCAGCUCCUUGUUGCAUUGCUUCCAUGCUUUGAAGUGAAAACGCCCACCCAAGCUCAGCGCAACGAGUUCGGAGAAGAUUCAGAAUUUUGAAUAUGGGAAUCUCAUAUUCAGGGACACCACGCAAUUUUUAAAUAGUUCCCUUUCUUGCUUGUUGUUUGAAGGUAUCAGAAGGAAUUAAGGCAUUUAAGUGUCUACAGCAAGUGUAUGGUAAUGACUUUGCACGUUUAACCAGGAAAGGUGUGUACCCUUAUUCCUGGAUCAAAAGCUCUCAAGUCUACAAUGAAGAAUGCCUGCCGGCCAAGGAUGGUUUUUAUGAUGAUUUGAAUGGAACACACAUCAGCGAUGAUGACUAUGCUUUUGCUGGGGAAACAUAUGAUCAUUUUGAUUGCAAGUCAUUGAAAGAUUAUACAUUGAUCUUUUUGGAACGUGAUGUCCUGGUCCUGUUAGAUGUUAUGCAGCAUUUUAGACAGCUUUCUAUGAAGACAUGUGGAUUGGAAGUGCUGCACUUUGUCAGUCUACCCGGAUUUUGUUGGCAGGCUGCUCUCAAGUGUAUAAAGGCCAAGAUCGAGCUGCUUACAGAUGAAGAUAUGUAUCGAACCAUCGAGUCUUCUAUUAGAGGUGGUAUUUGCCAACAAGGAUUGAGGUAUGUUGCUGCCAAUAACAAAUAUUGUGCAAACUUUGACCGGGAGAAACCGCAAAGUUACAUCUCCUAUUGGGAUGCAAACAGUCUGUAUGCCAGUUGCCAAACAUUGCCAUUGUCUAUUGGAAGAUUCGAGUGGGUGCCCGAAUCCGAAUUUUCGAGUUUGGACAUCAUUAACCAUCCUCAGGAUGCAGAGUACGGCUACAUUUACGUGUGCGACCUCGUCUACCUGCCGGAGCUACACCAGAAGACCAGGUAUUUCCCACUAGCUCCAAUGAAACAAAAGGUUGACGACAGUUGGUUGUCAGAGUAUCAGUUGGCUGUAAAAGACCAAUUGAAUUACAAACCUGCAGCACAGGGUAAGUUACUUCUCACUUGUAAUGAUAAAACAGAGUAUGUUGUACAUUAUCGUUUGUUGAGUCUAUAUUGCAAGUUAGGUAUGCGGGUGAGCAAAAUUCAUAGAGUGUUGAAAUUUCGUCAGGGUACGGUCUUUGGCCCGUACAUUGAAAUGAAUAUUAAGCGACGCAUUGCAGCGCAAACGAACUUUGAAAAGCAGAUAUUGAAGUUAAGCUGUAAUGCCCUUUACGGUAGGACACUCCUUUACCCCAGGCGAUUUAGAUCAAUUAAGAUAGCAUUCACCAAAGAAGAGGCCCAAAGAUAUAGCUCCUCAAACGACUGCAUUCGAUUUGAAAUUUUGUCAGAGAAUUGUGUGUUGUAUGAGAUGAAGAAAAGGAAGGUAAAGUGUAGCUUUCCAUUACAGAUUGGUUUUUGUAUUUUAGAUUAUAGUAAGUUGGUAAUCUACGAAUUUGUCUAUUGCACUCUCUUGGAAAAAUUGAAUUGCCCCAUCACCAUCAUGUAUUCGGAUACCGAUUCUAUCAUUGGUGUGUUUCAUACGUCAGAGUAUCAAGAGGAAAUCAAAAAGAUUGCAGAUGAUCACCUUGAUCUUUCAUCCUAUCCCAGUGAUCAUCCACUCUAUAGCAAUAAAAAUAAAGGGCAUUGUUCCACUUCAAGGAUGAGACUGGAGGUAGGAUAAUUGAAGAGGUGGUUGCUCUGAAAGCAAAAAUGUAUUCUAUCCGAUUGAGUGACGAUAGUCAAAGAGCAAAAGGUGUUACGAAAAGUAUUGCUCGUAGGGAAUUGCAUCACAAUGUAUAUAAAGAUGUUUUGUUUAAUAGUGUGAAGGUAAGUCAUCUACAAAGGACCAUAUGUAGUAAGCGCCAAUGUAUGUAUACAGUGGAAACAACUAAGCUUGCACUCAUGCCCUAUGAUGAUAAGCGAUACCUCUUUAAUGCAAUUGAGUCAUACCCAUAUGGAAGCUGUGAAAUUGGUAAUGAGUAAGUAUAUUCUUUAUUAUGUGUAUUGUGUUUCUUCUGUUACAGGUCGUGAAGGUUUUUCGGCUGGGUUUUUCUCCUUCACCUGAUUGGCAUCACAAUUGGCACAAUUUCCAGCACAAUUGGCUUUAAUAAAUAUAUCUCAACUUGAUUGGCAUUACAAUUGGCAUUAAUAAAUAUAUUUUCACUUGUG